UACAGAGGGGGCAAGCGUUAUUCGGAAUUAUUGGGCGUAAAGGGCGCGUAGGCGGCCUUUCAAGUGACGGGUGAAAUCCCCCGGCUUAACCGGGGAACUGCCUGUCAGACUGGGAGGCUUGAGACCGGGAGAGGUGAGUGGAAUUCCCAGUGUAGCGGUGAAAUGCGUAGAUAUUGGGAGGAACACCAGUGGCGAAGGCGGCUCACUGGACCGGUACUGACGCUGAUGCGCGAAAGCGUGGGGAGCAAACGGG
Molecule: ribosomal RNA, 253 nt
Filed under: uncultured bacterium
Lineage: Bacteria
Description: partial 16S ribosomal RNA
Rfam family: Bacterial small subunit ribosomal RNA
Source: RNAcentral